Long non-coding RNA from Belonocnema kinseyi, 1444 nucleotides. RefSeq lists it as uncharacterized. The transcript is spliced from 3 exons. Lineage: Eukaryota; Metazoa; Arthropoda; Insecta; Hymenoptera; Cynipidae. The record is from RefSeq and is a predicted model, not a curated record.
GCGAUAAGCAUGUCGUAUAGUUUAAUUAAAAUUAAGUUUAGAAUAUAAGAAAAAUUUUCGGCUGCAGUGCUCCCUUUUGUAAACAUAGAAGCGAGGAUGGAUUUAAACUUGACCUUUUCCACUAGAACGAAGAGAAGGACUCUCAGAGUGGAUAAUAAAUUUUAGACGCGACGUUUUUCUACAGAGCGUCUCACGUUAACCCACGCAAAUAAAAAAGACAUGUUAAAAUCUCUCAUAUUUGCCGCCUUGAUUAUCCAAGAUGGAGAAAUUAAGCGGUGGGUUAUGAUUAGUUCGCUUUUUUUACUUGAAGGUGGCUAGACCAUGUAUCAGGGAUGAGCAGUUACGCGUAACCUCAUUUUUUGGAAUUUCUGGUACAGGCAUUCAUAGGAUUUAUUUUUCCAAUGCCAAUAGUUUAAAUUAAAAAAUUAUAAUGUCAACUAAACUGAAACAGAGCAAACACAAAGAUACUUCGGGCUGCCAUAAGUUCCAUGGGAUGAGAUUAAUAUCAAACGUAUACAAGUAAAUAAAAAUAAUGAAAAUCAUCUAAAUGGAACGCAAUGUUUUUUUUUGCAUCAUAAUAUUGAAAAAUGUUGCUUGUAUGCAUCUUCUGGGAAACAGAAGGAGGCCGCAAUGGAUGAAAUUGUAGUAAAUCAUAUCAUUAAAGGUACCAUGGAAAUCGUAGACGCUAAUAGUAUAGUAGCGACUGGUACAAUGGCGGAAUCGACGUCACGAUUCUUGCGGACGCUGCAGUUUUUCGUUCGCUUACGCAGAGCUGCGAGCAGAGCAUCAGGGUUGCGGAGUGAUGCGUCACUCGAGGUUUUCUACGUGCAUUACCUAAAUGAAGUAAUUUACGUAGAAAACUUUAGAAAACCAGUCAAUUAUAUGACAAAGAUGGCGUUUGUCUGUUUUGAACUUUUGAAUUUUCUAGCACGUGACAUAACCUCCUUCAAACCUUAAUUAGUUUGAGGAUUCUAGAUAUUAAACUAACAAACGGUUAAAAUGAUGAGAAAGAAGAUUUCUGCGAGGAUUGCAAAUAUGCCAUGGAAAACCCUAAGGGUACCUCUUAACGGAGGCCUGUUUUGAAUAAAUCGUGGAAUUAAUAUUUUUCAGAGGACUCGUUUCUAGCUGCUUUGUUGGUUUAUGGCAAAUUUGAUUGGUUGAGAACCUAAAUACGAAUUCGAUGUGUCAAAUUAAUUCAUCAGUUCAUUGACAUUCGACCUCCGUGAAAAAGUACCCUAAGUUUUGAGAGAGUGAAAGCAACAUUUAACAAUAUAGACAACAGUGUAGUUAAAUGCCUAUUUUGCGAUAAACUAUUGAAAACAGUGUUUAUAAACGCCAUCUAGGUCAUGGGUAUGUAAACAGUGUUGAAUUAUUAUUAAUUUUUGCAAUUAUAUUACAUUAUUAUUAUAUAUUAUAUUUAUUAUAAUACUUCAAUUAUAUUCAA